GGGCCCGCACAAGCGGUGGAGCAUGUGGUUUAAUUCGAUGCAACGCGAAGAACCUUACCAGGUCUUGACAUGUCACUUUUUUCUUGAAAAAGAAAGUUCCCGAGUGAACACAGGUGGUGCAUGGCUGUCGUCAGCUCGUGUCUUGAGAUGUUGGGUUAAGUCCCGCAACGAGCGCAACCCUUAUUCUGUGUUGCUAUUUAUAGGAAACUCAGAAGACUGCCGGUGAUAAGCCGGAGGAAGGUGAGGAUGACGUCAAGUCAGCAUGCCCCUUACGACCUGGGCCACACACGUGCUACAAUGGCCGGGACAAAGAGAUGCAAUCUCGCGAGAGCAAGCUAACCUCAAAAAACCCGGUCUUAGUUCGGAUUGUAGGCUGCAACUCGCCUACGUGAAGGCGGAAUCGCUAGUAAUCGCAGGUC
This 419-nucleotide ribosomal RNA is filed under the name uncultured bacterium. Its description in RNAcentral is "bacterial SSU rRNA". It matches the Rfam family "Bacterial small subunit ribosomal RNA", at positions 917 to 1350 of the family's 1533-position model. The record is from RNAcentral.